This is a long non-coding RNA of Oncorhynchus tshawytscha (Chinook salmon), 1449 nucleotides long. The record is from Ensembl. NCBI's taxonomy places the organism in Eukaryota, Metazoa, Chordata, Actinopteri, Salmoniformes, Salmonidae.
UUAUACAAUAAAGGAGUGGCUCAUGAGACCUCUUUUAGUGAGUGGUCUAGCAGUGCGCCCCAGUCUCAUGAAGCGUGCUGCCGAGAGAGUUAGCUCCCGUUCCAAAGCUUUUAAUUCAGACAAUGAAAUUCUCCGUUGGCCCCUUAUUGAAGAUAUAUGUUAAAAACACCCUAAAGAUUGCAAAAACACCCUAAACACCCUAAAGAUUGAUUGCAGACAUGUUUUGACUUGUUUCUACAACCUGUAACGGAACUUUUUGAGUUUUUGUCAUGGUGGAAAUGGUCGCUCCUCCAUGAAGAUUGAUUACUGGGCUGAACACGCUAACACUUGUGGGUAAAUGAUGGGCUUAUGGAACUUUAUGGAAGAAAUCAGUCAUUUAUGGUCGAACUGGGAUUCCAGGGACUGCCUUCUGAUGAAGAUUAUCAAAGCUAAGUGAAUAUUUAUAGUGUUUUUUCUAACUAAUGUUGACUCCAAGAUGGCGGAAAUGUCUAGUUGUUUAUAAGCAGGUACUGAGUGCCGUUCUCAGAUUAUGCUUUUUCCGUAAAGUUUUUAAAAAAUCUGGCACAGCGGUUGCUUAGAGGAUAAGUCCAUCUUUAAUUCUGUGAAUAACACUUGCAUCUUUUAUCAAUGUUUAUUAUGAGUAUUUCUGGGAUGUUUUGGAAUCAAACAUUACUGCACAUAAUGCGCCAAUGUAAACUGAGAUUUUUGGAUAUAAAUAUGCACAUUAUUGAACAAAACAUACAUGUUGUCAUUUUAAUCCAUAUAGACGUGAAGGAGAAGCUCGUCGGAUGUUGAUCUCUUCUCGUAACAUGAUGUCCUAUGAGUGUCAUCUGAUGAUAAUCAUCAAGAGUGCCUGAUCUGUGAGCAGAGGAGAUGUUCAGGACAACAACACAGCAGGCGAGCGAGCGGCAGGGAGAGAGAGAAAGAGAGCGAGGGAGCGUGAGAGACUGCCACACUGACAGCUGGAGGAGAAAAACAGAAAUAUAAAAGGGAAGGAGAACGCAGUGCUUUCAGCUUGUAAGCACUGGCUGGAUGUUUUAUUUUUUUUCUCUUCCCUACGCGCGCCCAUGUGGUUUUUCUUAUCCUCUCGCACAUGUGUAUCAAACAAUGACUGUAAAAAGAAGAGGUAUCAAGCUCACAUCAUGGAGAGAGCAUGGAGACGCUUGCUCACUACACACCCUUUCUGAAGGAGAGAGAGUUGCGGCUGUGGAUGGACCAGUUUUAACAGAGGAUUGCCUGCUACAGAUGAAGAAAGAGCGCUUUUUUUCACAUUGGCUACAUUGAUUUUCCUGAUUGGAUUUUGAUCGGAGGAAAGGCGGGUUAGGCAUUUGUUUGUUAAUUUGCUGUUUGGCUUGGCGCCCACAGCACAGCACGGCACAAAGCUUCCCUCCCUUUCCUCUGGGAGACCAGGGAGAUGGUGAGUGAAACUGGCUCUGUACAGCCCUCCCC